This 1390-nucleotide ribosomal RNA is filed under the name metagenome. RNAcentral describes it as "bacterial LSU rRNA". It matches the Rfam family "Bacterial large subunit ribosomal RNA", at positions 1460 to 2925 of the family's 2925-position model. The record is from RNAcentral.
UUAAGCACAGGGACACAUAUGAAGUCUCAGAGCCGGGUGUUGGUUCCGGUAGAGAUCGAGGGAAGUUAGUACCGAAGUCUGGGAUGGAAGAUGGCGAGAAAAGCUGUGUGGAUUUCUGAGGUGCCCGUACCGCAAACCGACACAGGUAGGUAGGAAGAAGAUUCUAAGGCCAACGGGAGAAGGGUUGUUAAGGAACUCGGCAAAUUGACCCCGUAACUUCGGGAGAAGGGGUGCUCCAGAGAUGGAGCCGCAGAGAAUCGGCCCAAGCAACUGUUUACCAAAAACACAGGUUUGUGCUAAAUCGAAAGAUGACGUAUACGAGCUGACGCCUGCCCGGUGCUGGAAGGUUAAGAGGAGAUGUGCAAGCAUUGAACCGAAGCCCCAGUGAACGGCGGCCGUAACAAUAACGGUCCUAAGGUAGCGAAAUUCCUUGUCAGGUAAGUUCUGACCCGCAUGAAAGGCGUAAUGAUUUGGGCACUGUCUCAACAGCCCGCCCGGCGAAAUUGUAGUACCGGUGAAGAUGCCGGUUACCCGCGACAAGACGGAAAGACCCCAUGGAGCUUUACUGUAGCCUAAUAUUGGGUUUCGAUGUUGCAUGCACAGGAUAGAUGGGACUCUGGGAAACCAGUGCUUUGGCGCUGGCGGAGAGGCCGUUGGGAUACCAUCCUUGCGAUAUUGGAAUUCUAACCUGCGGCUCUGAAUCGAGUCGGGGGACAUUGUUAGGUGGGCAGUUUGACUGGGGCGGUCGCCUCCUAAAAAGUAACGGAGGCGUUCAAAGGUUCGCUCAGCUUGAACGGAAAUCAAGCAAAAGAGUGCAAACGCAGAAGCGAGCCUAACUGCGAGACUGACGGGUCGAGCAGUAACGAAAGUUGGAGUUAGUGAUCCGGUGGUAUGUGAGUGGAAAUGCCAUCGCUCAACGGAUAAAAGUUACCCUGGGGAUAACAGGCUGAUCUCCCCCAAGAGUCCACAUCGACGGGGAGGUUUGGCACCUCGAUGUCGGCUCAUCGCAUCCUGGGGCUGUAUUCGGUCCCAAGGGUUUGGCUGUUCGCCAAUUAAAGCGGUACGCGAGCUGGGUUCAGAACGUCGUGAGACAGUUCGGUCCCUAUCUGUCGUGGGCGCAGGAUAUUUGAUGGGAGCUGUCCCUAGUACGAGAGGACCGGGACGGACGUACCUCUGGCGCACCAGUUGUUCUGCCAAGAGCAUAGCUGGGCAACUACGUACGGAUCGGAUAAACGCUGAAAGCAUCUAAGCGUGAAGCCGACCCAAAGAUAAGAUAUCCCACUGUUUCAAACAGGUAAGAUCCCUUGAAGACUACAAGGUUGAUAGGCACGAUGUGUAAGUGGAGUGAUCCAUUCAGCAAGCGUGUACUAAUAGAUCGAGGGCUUGACCG